RNAcentral lists this transfer RNA (80 nucleotides) under Phakopsora pachyrhizi. RNAcentral describes it as "tRNA-Gly". It matches the Rfam family "tRNA". Rfam says of the family: Transfer RNA (tRNA) molecules are approximately 80 nucleotides in length. The record is from RNAcentral. Lineage: Eukaryota; Fungi; Basidiomycota; Pucciniomycetes; Pucciniales; Phakopsoraceae.
GCGUUGUUGGUGUAGGGGUUAGCAUUGAAGCCUUCCAUGCUUGGUAGCUUUAGUCGGGGGUUCGAGUCCCUCACAACGCA